GCGUGCGCAGGCGGUUUUGUAAGACUGUCGUGAAAUCCCCGGGCUCAACCUGGGAAUGGCGAUGGUGACUGCAAGGCUAGAGUUUGGCAGAGGGGGGUAGAAUUCCACGUGUAGCAGUGAAAUGCGUAGAUAUGUGGAGGAACACCGAUGGCGAAGGCAGCCCCCUGGGUCAAAACUGACGCUCAUGCACGAAAGCGGUGGGGAGACAAACAGGAUUAGACUACCCCGGU
This 230-nucleotide ribosomal RNA is filed under the name uncultured bacterium. Its description in RNAcentral is "partial 16S ribosomal RNA". It matches the Rfam family "Bacterial small subunit ribosomal RNA", at positions 565 to 791 of the family's 1533-position model. The record is from RNAcentral.